This is a non-coding RNA of Fomes fomentarius, 73 nucleotides long. Lineage: Eukaryota; Fungi; Basidiomycota; Agaricomycetes; Polyporales; Polyporaceae. The record is from the annotation of a GenBank genome assembly.
GGCCGACUAGCUCAGUUGGGGAAGAGCAGGGCAUGCAGCGCCUAGGUCGUCGGUUCGACUCCGACGUCGGUCC